ACCGCAUGCAUACAAGCAGUGGGAGCACCUUCGUGGUGUGACUGCGUACCUUUUGUAUAAUGUUUCAGCUACUUAUAUUCAGUAGCAAGUUUAACCGUAUAGGGGAGCCGUAGAGAAAUCGAGUCUUAAUAGGGCGUUUAGUUGCUGGGUAUAGACCCGAAACCAGGCGAUCUAUCCAUGAGCAGGUUGAAGGUUGGGUAACACUAACUGGAGGACCGAACCCACUGUCGUUGAAAAGCCAGGGGAUGACUUGUGGAUAGGGGUGAAAGGCUAAUCAAGCCUGGUGAUAGCUGGUUCUCCCCGAAAGCUAUUUAGGUAGCGCCUCGGACGAAUACCAUAGGGGGUAGAGCACUGUUUCGGCUAGGGGGUCAUCCCGACUUACCAAACCGAUGCAAACUCCGAAUACCUAUGAGUACUAUCCGGGAGACAGACUGCGGGUGCUAACGUCCGUAGUCAAGAGGAAAACAAUCCAGACCGCCAGCUAAGGCCCCAAAAUCAUAGUUAAGUGGGAAACGAUGUGGGAAGGCAUAGACAGCUAGGAGGUUGGCUUAGAAGCAGCCACCCUUUAAAGAAAGCGUAAUAGCUCACUAGUCGAGUCGGCCUGCGCGGAAGAUGUAACGGGGCUAAAACUAUGUGCCGAAGCUGCGGAUUUGACAUUAGUCAAGUGGUAGGGGAGCGUUCUGUAAGCCGAUGAAGGUGUAUUGAGAAGUAUGCUGGAGGUAUCAGAAGUGCGAAUGCUGACGUGAGUAACGACAAAACGGGUGAAAAACCCGUUCGCCGAAAGACCAAGGGUUCCAGUCCAACGUUAAUCGGGGCUGGGUGAGUCGACCCCUAAGGCGAGGCCGAAAGGCGUAGUCGAUGGGAAAAUGGUUAAUAUUCCAUUACUUCUGUGUAAUGCGAUGAGAGGACGGAGAAGGCUAAAUCAGCCUGGCGUUGGUUGUCCAGGUGAAAGGAUGUAGGCAUGUAUCUUAGGCAAAUCCGGGGUACUCUAUGCUGAGAUCUGAUAGCAAGCUGUACUUGUACAGCGAAGUGGUUGAUGCCAUGCUUCCAGGAAAAGUCUCUAAGCUUCAGUUACACAGGAAUCGUACCCGAAACCGACACAGGUGGUCAGGUCGAGUAGACCAAGGCGCUUGAGAGAACUCUGCUGAAGGAACUAGGCAAAAUGGUACCGUAACUUCGGGAGAAGGUACGCUGUUGUUGGUGAUGGAACUCGCUUCCUGAGCUGACGACAGCCGCAGAAACCAGGCCGCUGCAACUGUUUAUUAAAAACAUAGCACUCUGCAAACACGAAAGUGGACGUAUAGGGUGUGAUGCCUGCCCGGUGCUGGAAGGUUAAUUGAUGGGGUUAGCGUAAGCGAAGCUCUUGAUCGAAGCCCCAGUAAACGGCGGCCGUAACUAUAACGGUCCUAAGGUAGCGAAAUUCCUUGUCGGGUAAGUUCCGAC
This 1443-nucleotide ribosomal RNA is filed under the name human gut metagenome. RNAcentral's name for it is "bacterial LSU rRNA". It matches the Rfam family "Bacterial large subunit ribosomal RNA", at positions 555 to 1987 of the family's 2925-position model. The record is from RNAcentral.